Cavia porcellus (domestic guinea pig) is the source of this 767-nucleotide long non-coding RNA. RefSeq lists it as uncharacterized. The transcript is spliced from 3 exons. Lineage: Eukaryota; Metazoa; Chordata; Mammalia; Rodentia; Caviidae. The record is from RefSeq and is a predicted model, not a curated record.
CUCUAACUGAAACCCGCUCCAAACUUUCUGAACAUGCCUUUCAAAGCUCAAUAUGUCUCCCAGGGCCACCAUGGAUACUGGAUCAGGAUGAGAACUGCAUAAGGGUGUCUGGCCAAGAGUAGCCCUGGAGGAAGGGGACUGAAGAUGAACUCCACAAAGCCCUCUCAGCUGAAAAACCUGGGCUUGUGAACUGCAACACAUAUCUGGGAGGCUGGGUUUUCCAAGGCACUGCCACUGCCUGCCCCCAUAUGGGGACUCUGCUGCUCCCAGGUCCCCAGCUGGAGCCCCCAGCCCUGCUCCCUAAUUCCAGCGGAGCAGGCACCGUGCCCGCAUGCCCAAUUGAUUCUCCCAGCACACACAGGUAAUUCAUCUCAGCUUCGCUUCCAGGCCCCCACCCCCAGAUGUGCAGCCUUCGCAGCAGCCAGAGGCCAGCUCACCCCACCCAUAUCGCCGGCCAGCUGCAGCCCCUCAUUUCUCGGGGAAGAGAGAACUAAUAAACGACAGUCUCUGAGCUGUACACCCCCCACCAUUCCAUUCUUGCCACAGCCGCCCCAUAAAACAAAGGAGAGAGAUAUAAAGGAGCAAAUGUGAGUGUGGAUAGAGUUUCUAGCUGAUGAGAGGAGUGGAGAUGGUUGGCUACAGACAGGACUGAGACAAGAGUGGACUGAGGCUGGGCCACUUGGCUGGGUCACCGCCACUUGGGCCCCUACACUAUCUCCUCAGGCAGGGACAAGGACAAUAAGAUUAAGAAACAGAGGGUAGCAAAU